CCUACGGGUGGCAGCAGUGGGGAAUAUUGCACAAUGGGGGAAACCCUGAUGCAGCGACGCCGCGUGAGUGAAGAAGCGUUUCGGCGCGUAAAGCUCUGUCAGUGGGGAAGAAAGACGGUUCGCGAGAGCCACGGACGGUACCCGAUCAAGAAGCCCGGGCUAACUACGUGCCAGCAGCCGCGGUACUACGUAGGGGGGAAGCGUUGUCCGGUAUCACUGGGUGUAAAGGGUGCGUAGACGGCGAGACAAGUCUGGAGUGAAAGGCCGGGGCCCAACCCCGGGACUGCUCUUGAAACUGGCUGGCUGGAGUACAGGAGAGGUAAGUGGAAUUCCUAGUGUAGCGGUGAAAUGCGUAGAUAUUAGGAGGAACACCAGUGGCGAAGGCGGCUUACUGGACUGUAACUGACGUUGAGGCUCGAAAGCGUGGGGAGCAAACAGGAUUAGAUACCCGGGUAGUC
This 458-nucleotide ribosomal RNA is filed under the name uncultured bacterium. RNAcentral's name for it is "partial 16S ribosomal RNA". It matches the Rfam family "Bacterial small subunit ribosomal RNA", at positions 338 to 795 of the family's 1533-position model. The record is from RNAcentral.